Molecule: ribosomal RNA, 254 nt
Filed under: uncultured bacterium
Lineage: Bacteria
Description: partial 16S ribosomal RNA
Rfam family: Bacterial small subunit ribosomal RNA
Source: RNAcentral
UACGUAGGGGGCAAGCGUUGUCCGGAUUUAUUGGGCGUAAAGAGCGUGUAGGCGGCCAGAUAGGUCGGUUGUGAAAACUGGAUGGCUCAACCUCCAGACGUCGACCGAAACCAUCUGGCUAGAGUCCGGAAGAGGAGAGUGGAAUUCCUGGUGGAGCGGUGAAAUGCGCAGAGAUCAGGAGGAACACCCGUAGCGAAGGCGGCACUCUGGGCCGAUACUGACACUGAGGAGCGAAAGCGUGGGGAGCGAACAGG